RNAcentral lists this ribosomal RNA (254 nucleotides) under uncultured bacterium. Its description in RNAcentral is "partial 16S ribosomal RNA". It matches the Rfam family "Bacterial small subunit ribosomal RNA", at positions 524 to 776 of the family's 1533-position model. The record is from RNAcentral.
AACGUAGGACACAAGCGUUAUCCGGAAUUACUGGGCGUAAAGAGUUGCGUAGGUGGCAUAGUAAGCAGGUAGUGAAAGCGUGUGGCUCAACCAUACUCACAUUAUCUGAACUGCUAAGCUAGAGGAUGAGAGAGGUUAUUGGAAUUCCCAGUGUAGGAGUGAAAUCCGCAGAUAUUGGGAGGAACACCGAUGGCGUAGGCAGAUAACUGGCUCAUUCCUGACACUAAGGCACGAAAGCGUGGGUAGCAAACGGG